RNAcentral lists this ribosomal RNA (497 nucleotides) under uncultured bacterium. RNAcentral describes it as "partial 16S ribosomal RNA". It matches the Rfam family "Bacterial small subunit ribosomal RNA", at positions 28 to 507 of the family's 1533-position model. The record is from RNAcentral.
GAUGAACGCUGGCGGCGUGCCUAAUACAUGCAAGUCGAGCGAACAGACGAGGAGCUUGCUCCUCUGACGUUAGCGGCGGACGGGUGAGUAACACGUGGAUAACCUACCUAUAAGACUGUGAUAACUUCGGGAAACCGGAGCUAAUACCGGAUAAUAUAUUGAACCUCAUGGUUCAAUAGUGAAAGACGGUUUUGCUGUCACUUAUAGAUGGAUCCGCGCCGCAUUAGCUAGUUGGUAAGGUAACGGCUUACCAAGGCAACGAUGCGUAGCCGACCUGAGAGGGUGGUAGGCCACACUGGAACUGAGACACGGUCAAGACUCCUACGGGACGGAGCAGUAGGGAAUCUGACGCAAUGGGCGAGAGCCUGACGGAACAACGCCGCGUGAGUGAUGAAGGUCUUCGGAUCGUAAAACUCUGUUAUUAGGGAAGAACAAAUGUGUAAGUAACUAUGCACGUAUUGACGGUACCGAAUAAGAAAGCCACGGCUAACUACGUG